RNAcentral lists this ribosomal RNA (152 nucleotides) under Fusarium sp. OTU1120. Its description in RNAcentral is "5.8S ribosomal RNA". It matches the Rfam family "5.8S ribosomal RNA". From Rfam's summary of the family: 5.8S ribosomal RNA (5.8S rRNA) is a component of the large subunit of the eukaryotic ribosome. It is transcribed by RNA polymerase I as part of the 45S precursor that also contains 18S and 28S rRNA. Lineage: Eukaryota; Fungi; Ascomycota; Sordariomycetes; Hypocreales; Nectriaceae. The record is from RNAcentral.
AAAACUUUCAACAACGGAUCUCUUGGUUCUGGCAUCGAUGAAGAACGCAGCAAAAUGCGAUAAGUAAUGUGAAUUGCAGAAUUCAGUGAAUCAUCGAAUCUUUGAACGCACAUUGCGCCCGCCAGUAUUCUGGCGGGCAUGCCUGUUCGAGC